AUCAGCUUGGUGCAAACUUUGUACAAGGUCGUGCACAAGCUAAUGGGUCUGAAGUGAUCUGAAUCUGACGCAUCUUAUCUAUUCAUCAGAAAAACAAGGAAGGUCUGCUUUCAGGCAGCUGGCAUCAAACCUGUAGCAAAGAACUCCUGCACUAUAGUCACCGCCUCAGUCUGGAUGACAAGUCAAUACCGUCUGAAAAAAAAAUGGAGGAAAGCCAUCAGGUAUCGGGACUUUGUCCUGCAUCAUGGAUCACACCACCCCACGC
RNAcentral lists this long non-coding RNA (265 nucleotides) under Elaeis guineensis (African oil palm). Its description in RNAcentral is "long non-coding RNA (EGUI_LNC015991)". Lineage: Eukaryota; Viridiplantae; Streptophyta; Magnoliopsida; Arecales; Arecaceae. The record is from RNAcentral.